AAUAAUUCAAAUUGUAAAUCAUUUGUAAAUAUACUUUUUAAUAUUUUUAUUUCAUUAUAAUACAAUGCAAGAGUAAUAGGUUGGUCUUUAAUAUCUCCAAGACCAAGAUUUUAUCAUUUAAGAGAUCCAUUGCAGACAUAACCUGAAAAAUUUUCAACUGGAUAAUAAAGAUAGUUAUAAGUUUUUGGGGGUAUUUAUUUGUAUGAUACUAGAUUGAAGUUUGAGGAACAUAUUCAGAAUGUAUCUGGCUUCUGCUUGCUAUGCUAUAGUAACCAGAAUUAACUUAGGCCAGGUUAUAGCAAAAGGGAUAUAUUUUGCCCUGAUCGAAUCACACUUGAGAUAUGGCAUUCAAUUCUGAGGGUUUAUAAACAGUAAACUUGUUGAAUCUAUCUUUAUUUUCCAGAAGAGAGCUUUGCAAUAUUUGUAUAAGGUUGGGCAUAGGGAGCAUUGUAGGCCUCUGUUUAUUCAGGAGAAGAUCCUUACUGUUACCUGCAUUUUUAUUCUUAUGACAGUGGAUAUGAUCCACGAAAAAUAUAAACUCACUUUUGAUAAUGCAGCAAGAGUAACAAGAUUUAACAGUAAUAAUUUGGGAUUGCACAUUCCAAGAACUGCCUUAACAAAAAAUUCCAUUGUAUGUGAAGGAAGAAAAAGGUUUAACCACUUGCCUUUGGAAGUCAAAAGCUUAGAGAGAGAUGUCUCGAAGUCGAAAAAUGGUUAAAAUGGCGCAAGAACAAGUAGUAAUUGUACCAGAAUCACCAAAUAAUAAGACUUUAGAUGAUACAAGAACCAAUAUUAUCAUAUUUAAUGUAGCUUUGCAACAUGACAUUCUCUUUGGGGAACAAGGAGAAGGUCCUGUAAAUAUUGUUAACUAUAUCUUAGGUGACCAAGAUAUUUCUUUUACUUCGUUCAAUGUAUUUCCGAUAAGACUGAAAAAUGUGAGACUGAUGUUUUACUUGAAACUGACGAAACUGUGACUUAAACUUGUAGUAGUGUAAGAUCACGUUUAGUAGACUAUUCGGACUCAAACGAUGAAGUUGCGUUGUAUCCAGAGCAAUUUAGUGACAAAAUACCGGAAGAUGAAAAUAAUCAAGAAAAAAAAAGGAUGCAGGAGGACCAUCAACCGAAAACAACAGUCCUUGUGACUCUGACGUAUUAUCUUCUACUAGCAUGUCUUUUUCUGAUGACAGUAACCAAUCUAGUGCCGAAUCUACCUCUAGCAGCAAUUAUUUAAAAGGAAGGAAGAAAAAAAAGGCAGAAAGUAAGUGCCUUGGAAACAAAAGACUGCGAAAUUUAGGCGCGCCUCAAGUAAUAGGUUGUAUCUUUCAAGCGAAAUUAGAAAUGUACAAAUCUGUUUAGAAUGUACGAAUCGGUAGUAAAGAGUCAUGGAAAUAAACCGAUUAAACUCUCAGCGUAUAGAAAAAUUUUUAAAGAAAAAUAUAAUAUUGGAAUACACAGACCUAAAAAAGAUAAGUGUCUGAAAUGUGAAAAAUACAAGAAUAUUCCAGAUGUUGAAAAAACUGAUUCCGUAAAAGAUGACUACUUAAAACACACCAAAGAAAAAGAUGAAGCAAAACGGAUUUUUCUUGCAGAGCAGGAAAAAUGUUCGAAAGACGGGUUUCUUGUCGUGUCGUUUGACCUACAAAAAGUUCUUUCUACACCACAUGGCCCAAGUAUGAUUUUCGGUUUUUCAAGGAAGUAUGCCGUUUACAAUUUUACAGUUUAUGAAAGUAAAUCAAAAGACGGAAUAUGUUAUCUAUGGGGCGAAAAGGACGGAAAGCGCGGUCUUAAUGAGAUUUGCACUAAUUUAUACACCUACUUACUUCAAGUUGAUCGAGGUGGUAAGUUUUAAUCACGGGCAUACCUAUAUGCCAGUAGAUAGUGUUCACGUCAUUAUUGAAAAAUAUACUGCAUCCAUGAACAUUCAAGCACCCUCAGAAUGGCCUACUGUCAUUAGGAAUGCUAGAAAGCGGCCUAAGCCAUAUGAGGUAGUUCAAAUGAAUUUUUCUGACUUUUUGGAUUGGAAAGCAGUAACUUCUUUAAAAAAGAUUAAGGCAACAGAUGGUACCGAAAUUAAAAUAACAGAUAUAAAAAAGGCAAAGCUUUCCAAAUUAGAUUUAACUUGCAUUGAGAUUUCCACAAGAUAUGAUUUAGAAUCACAAUUUUAUAAAGUUGAUUGGAGUUGUCGAAAAUUACCUUGCCGCGCGUAUACAAAUGAAUUACCAAUUAAUAAAUCAAAAUAUCAAGGUCUGACAAAUUUAUGUAAAAAAUUGUCUAUUAAAAAGCAUUAUCAUUCCAAAUACUUUUCCCUUACUUGUAAUAACAAAGUACCUGAUGUGCUACCUGAAACGGAUAUGGAAGAUAACAGCAAAGAUUAAUAGCUUAUUCAGAUUUACAUACUUUUUCUAUUUCGCUUUUUUUAAGUUUAGUUUCCAAAGAAUGUUUUGUUUUUUUUAUAUAAAAUAUUUUUUUAUGAAAAAAUAAUAAUUUUUUAAUGUUUUGCUAUUUUCUAUUUAGAUAUUUUACUUCCUUUUAGAAAGAAUUUGAUUUUAUUUUUGUUUUUUAAAUGUUUAUGUUACUUAUUUGUAAUUUUUUUUUAAUAUUUUUAAUAAAAACGAUUGUUUA
This is a long non-coding RNA of Anthonomus grandis grandis, 2622 nucleotides long. RefSeq lists it as uncharacterized. Lineage: Eukaryota; Metazoa; Arthropoda; Insecta; Coleoptera; Curculionidae. The transcript has 2 exons. The record is from RefSeq and is a predicted model, not a curated record.